Long non-coding RNA from Micropterus dolomieu (smallmouth bass), 1051 nucleotides. RefSeq lists it as uncharacterized. NCBI's taxonomy places the organism in Eukaryota, Metazoa, Chordata, Actinopteri, Centrarchiformes, Centrarchidae. The record is from RefSeq and is a predicted model, not a curated record. The transcript has 5 exons.
CCAACCGGUGGCUAAGAUUAGCCAGCUAACGCAAUUCGCUAAUCACUGUAACGUUCCCUUAGCUUAGCUAAAUAAAAUAAGAAAGCAACGUUGGCUUUUAAAAACAUAUUUUACUCUCUUCGAAGUCACACACAUGGCUGCAUUAACAGUUUAAAACCAAUUGUUGAGCUGACAUAAACGGCUACACUGUGCUAUUCACUAGCUACCAUGUAAAGUUAGCUAGCUAUAACUUCAUGUACUAGUGGCACUCCAGGUAAUAGCCGAAGCCCACUUAGCACGGCAACUCACCGAGAGUUAAGUUACUGCGCUUUUCAGAUCAGAGAUAACUUCACAGAGAGUUGGCGAUAAAGAUAGGAAGAACAAGCGUGCCAAGUAUCAGUCAAUGUCCAGGCGCAUAUUAGUCCUGCCAGAGCAUAGCCUUUCUCCUGGGCUCCAACUCCUGGUAUGAUUCACCCCGAGGGUUCAGGUCAUCCUCUCUGCCCACCUGCAGGAGUGCAGCCUCGCUUUCUCCAUCCUUACAUAUGGUCGACCGGCCUAUGAGCUCUGCCAUGCAGUGGCGAGAAGCCUGAGAGUAUUUGGGGGAUCACCUAUACCUGGCUGGAGACCACAUGGAAGAGCCAGUCUAGACCUCUGUGCGAGCCAGCUCUCUCCCGUUGAGGAGCUCUCCGACCUCCUAAACUUCUGCCACAACAUCUGUCCAAUGUUAUGGCAGACUAGGGGAAAAGGACUCAAGAGCAGACUCAGGGCAGGUUUCAAUCCAGGAAUUCAGAGUUUAUUGAAAAGUGGGGUGUGAGCAGACCAGAGGGCAGACCAGGGAAAGGCGACCAGCAGGUGAACCUCCGGGCAGGCGGAGAGCUGAGUGAGGCAGAGCCAGGAUUUCCAGGUAGGCGGUGGGCUGAGUGAGGCAAUGGCAGGAUUUCCAGGCAGGCAGUGAGCGGGGUAUGGCAGCGAUCCUGAGCACAGGGAGACAAGGCAGCCUUGGCAGCUGCUGUAGCACUACAGCAGUCACAGAUCACCUCCAGUAGUAUCAGCACCAAAAGCAGCAGCAGCA